UUAAGCUACAAAGAGCGUAGGGUGAAUAGCUAGGCACCAAGAGCCGAAGAAGGACGUGAUAAGCUGCGAAAAGCUUUGGGUAGGAGCAAAUAUCCAUUAAUCCAGAGAUAUCCGAAUGAGGGAACUCACUUAGAGCAAACAAUCUAAGUAUCCAUAUAUGAGUAAAGUAGUAUAUGAGAAGGGAACGUGGGGAACUGAAACAUCUUAGUACCCACAGGAAAAGAAAGAGAAAUCGAUUCCUAGAGUAGUGGCGAGCGAAAUAGGAAGAGCCUAAACCAUGAGUAGUAAUACACAUGGGGUUCGGACCACGAUAUAUUAUCAAUAAUUCUAAUAGAAAUGUUUUGGAAAAGCAUACCAUAGACGGUGAAAGUCCAGUAUAUGAAAGAAAAGUUGAGAUUAGUGGUAUCCAGAGUAGUACGAGACACGAGAAAUCUCGUAUGAAUAAGCGGGGACCAUCCCGUAAGGCUAAAUACUACUUGGUGACCGAUAGUGAACUAGUACCGUGAGGGAAAGGUGAAAAGAACCCCGGGAGGGGAGUGAAAUAGAACAUGAAACCCUAUGUUUACAAGCAGACAAAGCACUUUAUAUGUGCGAUGUCGUACUUUUUGUAGAACGGUCCAGCGAGUUAUUGUGUAUGGCGAGGUUAAGUAUUACGUAAGGUACGGAGCCGAAGCGAAAGCGAGUCUGAAAAGGGCGAUAUAAGUCAUGCAUAAUAGACCCGAAACUGAGUGACCUAUCCAUGAGCAGGAUGAAGCUAGAGUAAAAUCUAGUGGAGGUCCGAACUGAUUGUCGUUAAAAAGGCACCGGAUGACUUGUGGAUAGCGGAGAAAUUCCAAUCGAACUCGGAGAUAGCUGGUUCUCCUCGAAAUAGCUUUAGGGCUAGCCUUGAGGGAAUGCAUAUGGGGGUAGAGCACUGAAUGAGGUAGGGGCCUAACCAGGUUACCAAACUCUAUCAAACUCCGAAUACCAUAUGUAAAUACUCAGGAGUCAGACUGCGGGAGCUAAGUUCCGUGGUCAAAAGGAAAACAGUCCAGAUCGUCAAUUAAGGUCCCAAAGAUAUAGCUAAGUGGAAAACGAUGUGAUUUUGCAUAAACAACCAGGAUGUUGGCUCAGAAGCAGCCAUUCAUUCAAAGAGUGCGUAAUAGCUCACUGGUCGAGUGAAGUUGCGCGGAAAAUUACCGGGGCUAAGCUAUACACCGAAAUUGCGGAUUUACAUUUGAAAGACAAUGUAAGUGGUAGAGGAGCAUUCUGUAGUAGGAAGAAGCAUGACCGUAAGGACAUGUGGACGAAGCAGAAGAGAGAAUGCUGGAAUAAGUAGCGAGAGGAUGGUGAGAAUCCAUCCCGUCGAAAAUCUAAGGUUUCCCAGGGAAGGUUCGUCCGCCUGGGGUAAGUCGGGACCUAAGGAGAGGCCGAAAGGCGUAUCUGAUGGAUAGCAGGUUGAAAUUCCUGCACUACGAAUAUACUUAAAAGAUUCAAGGGACGCAGAAGUGGAAGAUAACCAAGUAAGAGGAAAAGCUUGGCUCGCAAGAGGGAGUGAAAAUUAAAAGUAACGAAGUAUCAAGAAGCACGCUGACGAGAAAAGCUUGAAGAUAUUGUAUAUAAGUACCCGUACCGCAAACCGACACAGGUAGAUGAGGAGAGGAUCCUAAGACGAGCGGGAGAAGCAUUGUUAAGGAACUCGGCAAACUAACCCCGUAACUUCGGAAUAAGGGGUGCUGAUGUAACAGUCAGUCGCAGAGAAAAGGCCCAAGCAACUGUUUAACAAAAACAUAGGUUUCUGCUAAAUCGAAAGAUGAAGUAUAGGAGCUGACGCCUGCCCAGUGCUGGAAGGUUAAGGGAAAGAGUUAGGGUUAAACCGAAGCUUAGAACUGAAGCCCCAGUGAACGGCGGCCGUAACUAUAACGGUCCUAAGGUAGCGAAAUUCCUUGUCAGGUAAGUUCUGACCC
RNAcentral lists this ribosomal RNA (1946 nucleotides) under human gut metagenome. RNAcentral's name for it is "bacterial LSU rRNA". It matches the Rfam family "Bacterial large subunit ribosomal RNA", at positions 3 to 1989 of the family's 2925-position model. The record is from RNAcentral.